Molecule: non-coding RNA, 27 nt
Filed under: Cricetulus griseus (Chinese hamster)
Lineage: Eukaryota; Metazoa; Chordata; Mammalia; Rodentia; Cricetidae
Source: RNAcentral
GUCUCACCUUUGUUUCUCUGUUUGUAG